GAUGAACGCUGGCGGCGUGCCUAAUACAUGCAAGUCGAGCGAACAGACGAGGAGCUUGCUCCUCUGACGUUAGCGGCGGACGGGUGAGUAACACGUGGAUAACCUACCUAUAAGACUGGGAUAACUUCGGAAAGCUGAAUUAAUCACGGGAAAUGAGGUUGAACGCCGGGGUCCAAAAGGAAAGGCGGUUUUGGUGCCGCCUAUGGCGGGAUCCCCGCCGGAUUAGCUAGUUGGUUAGGUAACGGCUUACCAAGGCAACGAUGCGUAGCCGAACUGAGAGGGUGAUCGGCCACACUGGAACUGAGACACGGUCCAGACUCCUACGGGAGGCAGCAGUAGGGAAUCUUCCGCAAUGGGCGAAAGCCUGACGGAGCAACGCCGCGUGAGUGAUGAAGGUCUUCGGAUCGUAAAACUCUGUUAUUAGGGAAGAACAAAUGUGUAAGUAACUAUGCACGUCUUGACGGUACCUAAUCAGAAAGCCACGGCUAACUACGUG
Molecule: ribosomal RNA, 496 nt
Filed under: uncultured bacterium
Lineage: Bacteria
Description: partial 16S ribosomal RNA
Rfam family: Bacterial small subunit ribosomal RNA
Source: RNAcentral